GGAGCGGCCGAUGCCUGAUUAGCUUGUUGGUGAGGUAAAAGCUUACCAAGGCUUCGAUCAGUAGCUGGUCUGAGAGGACGACCAGCCACACUGGGACUGAGACACGGCCCAGACUCCUACGGGAGGCAGCAGUGGGGAAUUUUGGACAAUGGGGGCAACCCUGAUCCAGCCAUGCCGCGUGAGUGAAGAAGGCCUUCGGGUUGUAAAGCUCUUUCAGCCGGAACGAAACGGUUACAGUUAAUAGCUGUAACUACUGACGGUACCGGAAGAAGAAGCACCGGCUAACUACGUGCCAGCAGCCGCGGUAAUACGUAGGGUGCGAGCGUUAAUCGGAAUUACUGGGCGUAAAGCGUGCGCAGGUGGUUUUGUAAGUCAGAUGUGAAAUCCCCGGGCUUAACCUGGGAACU
RNAcentral lists this ribosomal RNA (407 nucleotides) under uncultured beta proteobacterium. RNAcentral describes it as "bacterial SSU rRNA". It matches the Rfam family "Bacterial small subunit ribosomal RNA", at positions 223 to 622 of the family's 1533-position model. The record is from RNAcentral. Lineage: Bacteria; Pseudomonadati; Pseudomonadota; Betaproteobacteria.